AGCGAACGCUGGCGGCAGGCUUAACACAUGCAAGUCGAGCGGGCCCUUCGGGGUCAGCGGCCGACGGGUGAGUAACACGUGGGAACGUACCCUUUGGUUCGGAAUAACGCUGGGAAACUAGCGCUAAUACCGGAUACGCCCUUUUGGGGAAAGGCUUGCUGCCGAAGGAUCGGCCCGCGUCUGAUUAGCUAGUUGGUGGGGUAAUGGCCUACCAAGGCGACGAUCAGUAGCUGGUCUGAGAGGAUGAUCAGCCACACUGGGACUGAGACACGGCCCAGACUCCUACGGGAGGCAGCAGUGGGGAAUAUUGGACAAUGGGCGCAAGCCUGAUGCUGCCAUGACGCGUGAGUGAUGAAGGCCUUAGGGUUGUAAAGCUCUUUUGUCCGGGACGAUAAUGACGGUACCGGAAGAAUAAGCCCCGGCUAACUUCGUG
This 433-nucleotide ribosomal RNA is filed under the name uncultured bacterium. Its description in RNAcentral is "partial 16S ribosomal RNA". It matches the Rfam family "Bacterial small subunit ribosomal RNA", at positions 29 to 507 of the family's 1533-position model. The record is from RNAcentral.